AAGAUACUCCCUCUGUUCGAAAUUACUUGUCGCGGAAAUGGAUGUAUCUAGACGUAUUUAUUUCUAGAUACAUCCAUUUCCGAGACAAGUAAUUCCGAACGGAGGGAGUAGACA
This is a non-coding RNA of Triticum aestivum (bread wheat), 114 nucleotides long. Lineage: Eukaryota; Viridiplantae; Streptophyta; Magnoliopsida; Poales; Poaceae. The record is from Rfam.